AGUGAACGCUGGCGGUAGGCCUAACACAUGCAAGUCGAACGGCAGCACAGUAAUAGCUUGCUCUUACGGGUGGCGAGUGGCGGACGGGUGAGGAAUACAUCGGAAUCUACUUUUUCGUGGGGGAUAACGUAGGGAAACUUACGCUAAUACCGCAUACGACCUACGGGUGAAAGCAGGGGAUCUUCGGACCUUGCGCGAUUGAAUGAGCCGAUGUCGGAUUAGCUAGUUGGCGGGGUAAAGGCCCACCAAGGCGACGAUCCGUAGCUGGUCUGAGAGGAUGAUAAGCCACACUGGAACUGAGACACGGUCCAGACUCCUACGCGAGGCAGCAGUGGGGAAUAUUGGACAAUGGGCGCAAGCCUGAUCCAGCCAUACCGCGUGGGUGAAGAAGGCCUUCGGGUUGUAAAGCCCUUUUGUUGGGAAAGAAAAGCAGCAGGUUAAUACCCCGCUGUUCUGACGGUACCAAAAGAAUAAGCACCGGCUAACUUCGUG
RNAcentral lists this ribosomal RNA (492 nucleotides) under uncultured bacterium. Its description in RNAcentral is "partial 16S ribosomal RNA". It matches the Rfam family "Bacterial small subunit ribosomal RNA", at positions 29 to 507 of the family's 1533-position model. The record is from RNAcentral.